Molecule: ribosomal RNA, 235 nt
Filed under: uncultured bacterium
Lineage: Bacteria
Description: partial 16S ribosomal RNA
Rfam family: Bacterial small subunit ribosomal RNA
Source: RNAcentral
CGGCACGGGUGAGUAACACGUAUCCAACCUGCCGUCUACUCUUGGACAGCCUUCUGAAAGGAAGAUUAAUACAAGAUGGCAUCAUGAGUUCACAUGUUCACAUGAUUAAAGGUAUUCCGGUAGACGAUGGGGAUGCGUUCAUUAGAUAGUAGGCGGGGUAACGGCCCACCUAGUCUUCGAUGGAUAGGGGUUCUGAGAGGAAGGUCCCCCACAUUGGAACUGAGACACGGUCCAA